This is a long non-coding RNA of Carya illinoinensis, 3006 nucleotides long. RefSeq lists it as uncharacterized. The transcript has 3 exons. Lineage: Eukaryota; Viridiplantae; Streptophyta; Magnoliopsida; Fagales; Juglandaceae. The record is from RefSeq and is a predicted model, not a curated record.
AUUGCCUUUGCUUUAAUCGAAGCCUUUUACUUUUUUCCUUUUUUCCUUCACUCAUUUCACCCACAUCCUGACUUUCACUCUCCCUCUCUCUCUCUCCCUCUCUCUGCAUUACUCUCAACUCAUCAUCUCUCGCCCUCAUAUGCUCACAGUUUCAAUGAUAGCAUCUCUCCAUCUAUUUUUCCUUCACGGAUUCAUAAAUAAAUAGAGAGAUCUUAUUCAUUUCCCACAAAUCUUAUUUAUUUGUUGUUUAUUUUUUUAUUUUGCUAUUCGCAUGAUCUGGGUUGAUUUUCGCCUCUAUUUGUCUAUAUGGUUCUUUAUUUAUUUUUUUUGUUCCUAUAGAUAUGAAUGAAUAGAUCUUGAAGCGAUUUGGGUGUUUUUGGUUUUUGUAUGCUCUAGGUUGAUCUUCUUCUCUCUAUGGCUAUUUUUCCAUCACGGAUCCGUAGGGAAAUGGAGAGACCGUCAUUUCCCACAGACCUUCUUCAUUUGUUUAUGUUUUUUGUUUUUUAAUUUUGUCGUUCAGAUGCUCACAGUUUAUCUUUGCCUCUCAUUGUCUAUAUUGUUCUUUAUUUUUUUAAUUUUUUUCUAUAGAUCUAAACAUCUCUUCAUAGAUUUGAAGAGAUCUUGUUCAGAUCUGGUUAUUUUUUAUUUUUAUUUUGCAGUUCGCUUAUGAAUAGCUGAACAGAUCUUCACAGAGUUGAAGAGAUCUUGUUCACAUCUGAGUUUCUUUUUUUAUCUUCUUUAUUUUGCUGUUGUUCUUUAUGGUUUUUUUUUCUGCAAAUUUGAGUACAUAACGUCGAUAUAUUUUUUUUAAAUACUAUCCUACCUUGUCGAAAUCUUUUACAGAUCUGAAUCUAUAAGUCUGUAAGAAUUAUUUUUAAAAACAUUUCGUUCUUGUUCUUUAUUUUGUUAGAUACUGUUAGAUAUCGGAAUCUUGUUCUUUAAGAAAUCCAAAUGAUUCUUCCAACCUUUUAACAUUGUUGUUUGUUUUCGUGUAGAGUUAUUUCUAGUGUUGCUUUAUUUCCAGUAUAGAGUUGAUCUUUUACUGCUUUGCUUUAUUUUAUUUGUUCUUAUUUCCAGUCUUGUAAAUAUUUUUUAGUAUAAAAAUGCAGUUAGUUAUAUAUGAUCUUUUAUGGUAUGGUAUUUUUUAAGGCUUGUUAUUUGUUACGAUGUAUAGUUGUUUUCAGUGUUGCUUUAUUUCCAGUGUGGAGUUUAUCUUUGUUUUAGUGUUGCUUUAUAGUUGUCCCCUCCCAGGACAACACCAUGGGUUCCAUUGUGGGUUCAGCCACUAUGGGUUCCACUGCACAACCCUCCCUUUCCCUCUCCUCCUUCAAAGGUCCGCACUCUCUCUCUCUUUGUGGGUUUUAAUUUUAAUUUUAUUUUUAUUUUUUUAUUUUUUUUGUGCUUGUUGUAGCGACGAACCGUUGGGAUCUGGCAUGUCACAAGCAUGCCAAGGGCAGAUGGCGUAGGUUUUUGGUUGGAUGCAUGUGAAAUUUGUUAAUCUUUCCUCUGGGUUGUUUCUCUUCGCAAAUCUGAAGUGUAGAUUAUAAUGAAUUUUAUGUUGUAUGACUUUUCAUGCAUACGGUAUUUGUGCUGUGAAAUCUUCUCCUUUUGUUGUCUUCUGCAUUGCAUUUUUUUUAGUCUAUUGUUGGCCAUGUUUUUUGGCAAUUUUGAUAACUCCCAGGUUUUACCUAAUCAAGAAAUUCACUUCCUAUAUGCAUAUAUGAUAUUUAAAAUAAUAAAAGCUGGCAACGCAGAGCAAUUUGUUUGGUACAUAUAGUUAAUUCCAAUAAUAAAAUUUUUAUUCUAAUUACAUGAUUAAAUAAUUUAAUUCUUAAAAAAUGAUUUUAAAAAAUUAUGAAAUACCAGCUUCUUUGACAUGUGUUGAGGAUGAGCUCAGCGAGAGGGUGAAAUGGUGGCAAGUGGCAAGUCAGUUUGGCCAGUCCUGUAUGUACUACUAAUCCUAUCUUUUUUAGUUAUCUAUUUAGUAAAACUAAAUAGGUGUAAAGUUAUAAAUUUUUUGUUUUCAAGGUGCUUUACAGCUUGCAUGAUGGUGAUAUAUUGGCAGGAAUACUUUUUUUCAAAUCAGUUUUACGCCCACAAAAGCUUCUCUCCUUGUCUAAUCUUGAUUUCCCUUCCUCUCUCUCCCCACCUCUCUCUCUCUCUCUCUCUCUCUCUCUCUCUCUCUCUCAAACAACUUCAUCUUCCGUCUAGAUCUCUUUCUUUCUCCCUAUAUUUAAAUGAUCUCGAUGGCAGACUGUAUUUCUUUCUCUAAACCCAUUUUCAGCCCUCUUUUUUUAUCUUGAGAAGGAGUUAAGAAGCAACUGAAAAACCUUAACUUAUUUUACACCUCUUUCUUUCUCUCCCGCUUAGAAGCUAUCUGUUUUUUAUUUUUUAUUUUGCAAAUAACAUCUGAUCUAUAUGUGUUCAUUUAGAUCUUUUAGUUUUCAUUUUAUUUUUUAGAUCCUAGAGUUUAACACAUGUUAAACAUGGGUUUGCAUGUUUUGAGUUUUGUCUUUGGGUUUUUUUUUUCACAUUUUUUGCUCGAUCGACUGCAUGUUUUUUUGGUUCUCAUUUAAUUUUUUAUAAAGUAGAUGCUUAUUUUUGGUCGUUUGAUGCAUUUUUUUUUACCGUGAAGCCCUUUGUUAAUGGUGGAACAUCUUGUAUGCUCACUACAUGCGUCAUCCAACCCAUUGAUAUGAUCAAGGUGAGGAUUCAAUUGGGUUAGGGAUCAGCAGCCCAAGUGGGGAUGACCAUGCUUAAGGAGGAGGGCUUUGGUGUCUUUUACAAGCUUCUAUUCCAAUGCAAUAGCUGGCACACGUAUAGAAGGGAAAAAAUAAGAAUAAAUGGGACUGUAGUCUUUCAAAGUUGUAACUUAUUAUAAUGUUUUGUCAUUAUAAUUUAUAGGAAAAGACAAUAGUAUCCAUGCCUAAUUAAUUUGGCACUAUUUUUCUUCAAAAAUUUGAGUUAUUAUAUUAAUGGAAUUCAAACAGACAACACAUUUGGUCA